Myotis brandtii (Brandt's bat) is the source of this 84-nucleotide long non-coding RNA. RefSeq lists it as uncharacterized. The transcript is spliced from 2 exons. The record is from RefSeq and is a predicted model, not a curated record. Lineage: Eukaryota; Metazoa; Chordata; Mammalia; Chiroptera; Vespertilionidae.
CUGGGGGGAUGGGAGUGGACAGGGAGGGGUUGAUGGGGGGAAAAGGAGACAUAUAUAUGUAAUACUUUAAACAAUAAAGAAUUU